ACGGAAGGCAGCAGUGGGGAAUAUUGCGCAAUGGGGGGAACCCUGACGCAGCAACGCCGCGUGAGUGAGGAAGUAUUUCGGUAUGUAAAGCUCUAUCAGCAGGAAAGAUAAUGACGGUACCUGACUAAGAAGCACCGGCUAAAUACGUGCCAGCAGCCGCGGUAAUACGUAUGGUGCAAGCGUUAUCCGGAUUUACUGGGUGUAAAGGGAGCGCAGACGGCGUGGCAAGCCAGAUGUGAAAUGCGGGGGCUCAACUCCUGAACUGCAUUUGGAACUGUCAAGCUAGAGUAUCGGAGAGGUAAGUGGAAUUCCUAGUGUAGCGGUGAAAUGCGUAGAUAUUAGGAGGAACACCAGUGGCGAAGGCGGCUUACUGGACGAUAACUGACGUUGAGGCUCGAAAGCGUGGGAGCAAACAGGAUUAGAUACCCUGGUA
RNAcentral lists this ribosomal RNA (433 nucleotides) under uncultured Ruminococcus sp. RNAcentral's name for it is "partial 16S ribosomal RNA". It matches the Rfam family "Bacterial small subunit ribosomal RNA", at positions 341 to 792 of the family's 1533-position model. Lineage: Bacteria; Bacillati; Bacillota; Clostridia; Eubacteriales; Oscillospiraceae. The record is from RNAcentral.